UCCGGAUAUUGGCAGCGAUGUGGUUAUAAUUUAGGAUGUACCACUUAGAUUUCGUUAUGUCAAAAGUCCAUUGUUUUGCCAUUUCUUGCGUAUAUAUGUAUAUAUAUAUUAAUAAUAAUAAUAAAAGCUGUUCGACCUUGGCCCACGUAAAUAAUUCGUCACGUGUAACAAUCCCUCCAUAAUAUCAUUCCUCUUAGUAUGAUGUUUCCGGUUUGGUUGCACGCUUUUCUUGAUAUUGAGUUCCCCCUUUCGGUUAUAAACAUGAACAGCAACGUUUAACCGAGAGGUUCACCGGGGGACACGCACAUCGUCUGCCCUACAUAAAAUGCACCCAUUGUAGGCCGAGGUGUCAGCUGAGGACUACUUGCAACCUAGAAACGGCGGUUUGGCCCCUCCUUCCCUUUGUCAGUCCGAUUGUAAACGUUAGUCCGGGGUCUUCUGGGGUAUUCUUAUUUUCAAAAACAGAUUCUAAAAUCGGCAUUAAAUUGCAGAGGUGACGCUUCAACCAUGCGAAAGGAGUUUUCUUCUUUUUCAUCAAACCUUUUUGAGACCCCUCACGAUUUUAUCAAAGGCGUUGUCUCGCGGAACUGUGCCCAAUGACAUCAUCCCCGCCUUUUGUUUACAGUUGCUAGGGGUUACAGGGUGACAUUUUUCAAACAGUCCUGCUCUAGAUUUGUUCGGGAUACGCGGUCCAGUUUCUAUAUUAACACAAAACGGACUAAACACAAAGUUUCGUAUUUAUUUUGAACAGAUGCUAUACUACAACAGUAACGUUAUUCACUUUCAAACUUUGUGAGAUGGCAGAUUCUGGUCUAUCAGAAAAAGCACUCAUCACCGAGAGUGCGGAGACCAUUCGUGCUACCUCAGUGUUCACGGACCCUUAUGAACGCUCUGUUAACUAUAUGGAGACUCACAGUAUUCUUCAGAUUUUCCAGGACAUCACAGAGAAACUGGUUUUUGAUAGACCAGACGAUCCACUGCAGUUCAUGUUAGAACAGGUGCAAAUGAAGAUCAAAAUCCGUGAUGAGUCAAGCAACACAUUUCUGAAAUCAUAAUGAAUUCUAAAGCAAAGUAACCAGGGCUUUGCAACAAAAUGAAUCCAAGUUUAUUCUUUUAUUUAUAUAUUUCUUCAAAUAAGGUGUAUUGGUUGCUGUCAUUCCGUGACUCUGUAUUGUUGUUUCCAAGCAACUGUCUUUAUUUAUUUAUUUAUUUUUUUUUUUUUGCUCCAAACUUACCAUGUUUUUCCACAAUUUUUUGAGAGUAUUAGCAUUCAUUUUCAGUCAAACAACGCUGAAAUCUUAAUAAUGUAGUUUGUGAGUGUCUUUGACCUAAAUAUCUCAAUGAACGCACUCAAGUGGAAAGUUAAAGCUAUUAAAUUUAAAAAAUAAAAUAAAAAAUAAAACAUUUAAAAGAGGAAUUACUUACAAGCUUUCUCUGUUUUUUAGAGACACAGUAUCUGAGAAUUAUAAUUACUGUUAGUUACUGUUUUAUGAAUUAACUAUGUUUUAUAAGAUAAAACAACUUCUGUAUAAGACAUGAUACAAGUCUUCUCCAAAAUAAAUAAAUCAAUAAAAUGAUAGCUAGACAAAUUUAGCUGGCUUUUAUGCAAUGUAGGCCUGCUUGAAUUUAAAUGGUAGAUUUUGGCUGCGCAAGUAAAGGAAGUCUUUGUUUAUAGUAGGGUCUUAUUGCAGUGUAUUUCUAUAGUUAUCUGCUGUGUAUUUACUCUAGAGAAACAUCUGGUGUUUCAAGACUGGUGUAUCACAUGCAAUCAUUUCAUUUGUAAAUAAAAAUAAGUUCAAAAUAUCUUCACAGUUACAUUGUCUAUUUGCAUUUAUUGCAUUUAUUAUUGUUAUAUAUAUUUCUUUUAGCUUUGGGCUAAAGGUGUGUCAGUGGCUUAACUAGUAAUAAUUGAAAAUUGCCUCCAACACUGGGAAAUGCUAUAACUACAGCAAAUACUCUUAAAAUGUGGGAAAUUGUUUCACUAUAAAUAUUAUGAAUAUUAAAGUAAUUCCUAGCUAGUUUAUGAAAAUAUGAACAUUGUUCUGCAACAUAACAUGAACAUGAUUCAUAUUCUCAUAGACAGUAUGUACACUGUUUAAUUUCAAAUGUAAAUUGUUCUAUAUUCCCCAGUGACUCAACUUACCCUUGACAUGACACAGCUACAGCUUGAGGCAAGUUGGGUCCCUGGACCAAUUUACUUAUAUGCUAGUUAUUAUAUACAUGCAUAUAUAAUUAUACAUUUCUGUGACCCUGUAUUAUAGAUGAUUGCUGCUCUUUAUAUUUGACUACUAGACAACUGUAUUUGGCACAACUUACCCUGUAUAUGUAGGAACUACUUUAUUAUUAU
Carassius auratus (goldfish) is the source of this 2347-nucleotide RNA transcript. It is a transcript of the gene named testis expressed 55, with no coding region annotated. The record is from RefSeq and is a predicted model, not a curated record. The transcript is spliced from 4 exons. Lineage: Eukaryota; Metazoa; Chordata; Actinopteri; Cypriniformes; Cyprinidae.